This 1255-nucleotide long non-coding RNA is filed under the name Citrus sinensis (sweet orange). RNAcentral's name for it is "long non-coding RNA (CSIN_LNC005259)". The record is from RNAcentral. Lineage: Eukaryota; Viridiplantae; Streptophyta; Magnoliopsida; Sapindales; Rutaceae.
GAGAAUUGAAGCUGACUUGGAAAGCUUGCAGGACAGAAUAUCACGGAUGGAAUUCGGAAUCAAUGAUAAGCUUCAACGAAUGGAAGACACCAUCAGUAAGUUAGCCGAGUCCUGUAGUGCUAGUAGGGGAGCAACAAGUCAAGGGAAUGCUAGUUCUACAGCAAGGCCAAUUCGAGAAGAAAGUGAAGGGGGACGGCCACCAAUACCACCAAGGAUAGCAAAACUGGAAUUCCCUCGUUACUUCGGCGACGAUCCAACAGAGUGGUUCAACCGAACAACACAAUUCUUUGAGUAUCAGGAAACGACCAAUGAACAGAAGGUAGCUUUGGCGUCUUUUCAUCUAGGAGGAGAGGCCAAUCAAUGGUGGCAGUGGCUACGCCGAACUUACCAAGAAGAAGGCAGAAUUGUGACAUGGGAGACGUUCGUAGAGGAACUUUGGGCACGCUUCGGACCAACGGACUGUGAAGAUUUCGAUGAAGCACUGUCACGGGUCAAACAAACAGGAACAUUACGUGAGUAUCAGAAAGAAUUUGAAAAGUUAGGUAACCGUGUUCAAGGGUGGACACAGAAGGCGCUGGUGGGUACCUUUAUGGGAGGACUGAAAUCUGAAAUUUCGGAGGAGAUCCGAAUGUUCAGGCCUCGUACAUUGAAGGAAGCAAUAAGCCUAGCACGAAUGAAGGAUGAGCAGCUGUCUAGGCAAUGGAAAUUGUUCCAAUCACCAACCAGCAACCGUGCACAGCUGACCAUCACCCAAACGCCACCAGCAACACCCAUCAAACGACUUUCAUGGGAGGAGAUGCAACGACGCCGCGCACAAGGGCUAUGCUUCAACUGCAAUGAGAGAUUUACAGCCGGGCAUAAGUGUAGCAAAGCGCAGCUUUUGAUUUUUGACAGUGAAAGCAAGACGGAAGAAGCUACGUAUGAUGAAAGUUCAAUAGAGGAGCAGAGAACAGUUUCCUUCCUUGACCCUUGAGGACAAAGAUCCUUUUCGCGGUGGGGGUAUUGAUAAGAGAAGAUCCCUAAGGAAGCCAAAGCCUAAUGCCAAGUUCCAUGAUAACGAGUUUGUCUCCAUGCUGGUCAUGCAUGAUACAUGCAUGCUUCCAUGCACGUGCAAGAACUUGCCAGAGGUUGUUUAGUUUGAUUCAACUGCUAUUUCAUAUUGUAGCUUGUGAUAACUCUUUGCUGAGGUUGUUUAGUUUGAUUCAACUACUACUUCGUAUUGUAACUUGCUAUUAUAAAUAAGCCAGCAACUAAU